UCUGUCAGUCUUGGAUGAACAACUUUCUUGUUAACUUCUUGAACAAAGACUAACUUACCACACAGCAUUCUGUAAAAAGCACAGCAGGCUAAGCAGUCUUAAUGAAUGAGAAGAACCUUGAUAACAUUACUGUGCCACAAAUUUAUAUCUGCAUCUUAUGUGCACCUUUUCCCCACUCAAGGAAAGAAGAAAAAAAACACAACAAAAAAACAGAAAAGCAGUAGGAAUGAUCAGUGUACCACUCAAGAAAGCAACUGAGCAGGUUUAGGACUCUUGAGCCUUGAAAAAUUUAAAAGGUCUACAGAAAGAGAUCUCAAGAAAGAGAAGUCGAGAAAUCUUUAGAGAAACUACUUACAUACAUGCCUGCCUAUUAUACAUUUCCAUAAGCAUUUGCUUCUGGCCACCAAGUUUCCAGGUGUAUUUUUGAUGAGACAAUAUAAAGCCACUCAUCUUCUACUCCUCCAGCAGUGGCUACUUUAGUUGUCAGUGUGGGGAAAGAAAACGGAAGGACUAAGGGGCUUGGCUCUACAGUAUACAAGGCAUAGUACCUUUUCUACAGCCAAGCCCUAGACCUUUGCACCUACUUUCCUCCAAAUCUUCUCUGAUCAGCCUUCCCCAUAGGCUUCAAAAACAGGAACAUAGGUUCCAAAACAGGCCAAAAGAAGGUCAUCUUGAAUAUCCUACAAGUUAUCCUGGUUAUCCUAUAUUCAUUCACCUCUCUGUUCACUUUCCCUUCCUACUUCUUUGCAUUAGCAUUCACCUGAUCAUGUUUAAGCUUAUGAAUGGAAUGAAAACUUGUGCAAAUUGUUUUUUCUUCAGGUUGAGCUAGUUGAAAGCACAAGGAAUCCACUGAGAACCAAUGCGAGUACAAAGAAGGGAAUGAAGACAGCCACGAACAGGCUACAUUCGUAGCAGGACCAACCAAUUAUGUAGAUCCACAUGUAAACUUCUGAGUUUGCAAAUAAGAGACCACAAUUUAGUUGGAAGACAUGGAACAAGCAUUGUUCAACACUGGUGCCUGAUAUUUCUGGCACGAAGAUGGUAAAAGACCAAACACAGCCCACCCCGCCUCUACAACUGGAGCUGCUGAGACAAGGAAGCCAGAUUACCACAGAUAAGAAGCACAGGAUGUGUCAACAACUUCCACGCAGGCUCUUCUCAAGGGGCAGCAUCUUGUAUUAUUACAGGGAGUGCAACACACGAAACAAACAAAGCCUUCCUAACCCUGCUGUGUCUCAGCUGAACUUCUGAGAAGACUGAAGCACAAGUAGAAAACUGAGGUUCAGCUGUGUUUAAAAAAAGUAACAUGAUUCCAAUUCAGAGAAGGAAGUAUUAAUAGAAGUUUACAGAACACAACAUCUGGCAGCGUCCUCCAUCAGCAACAGUACUACAUGUAAUUUUUACAUGUUGAAAAAAAAAAGAGCAUGUUUUGACUGUACUUUGGAGAUGAAACCGGCUGAUAAGGAAAUAAAGGCUUUUAUAUUAAGGAGUUUAACAAUACCUUGCUUCUCACCACUUCCUCUUAAUUACUUUUAACACACAAGUACUACAACAGUCUAAGUUUAAACAUAUUGUCUUAAAAAAGCAAAGAAGUUUC
Numida meleagris (helmeted guineafowl) is the source of this 1597-nucleotide long non-coding RNA. RefSeq lists it as uncharacterized. The record is from RefSeq and is a predicted model, not a curated record. The transcript has 4 exons. Lineage: Eukaryota; Metazoa; Chordata; Aves; Galliformes; Numididae.